Molecule: long non-coding RNA, 130 nt
Filed under: Polistes fuscatus (common paper wasp)
Lineage: Eukaryota; Metazoa; Arthropoda; Insecta; Hymenoptera; Vespidae
Description: uncharacterized LOC122525392
Source: RNAcentral
AACCAACAAAUGAAAAUAAAGAUCAUUGAAAUGAUAACCGAGAUAAUCUGAAGUUGGAUGGGUCGUCGUUUUACCGGCCAACAGUGUCAUACGAAAGUGCGUUACAAUUAGGAUACAAGUUUCAUUACGA